UACGGGGGGGGCAAGCGUUGUUCGGAAUUACUGGGCGUAAAGGGCUCGUAGGCGGCCAACUAAGUCAGACGUGAAAUCCCUCGGCUUAACCGGGGAACUGCGUCUGAUACUGGAUGGCUUGAGUUUGGGAGAGGGAUGCGGAAUUCCCAGUGUAGAGGUGAAAUUCGUAGAUAUUGGGAAGAACACCGGUGGCGAAGGCGGCUAUCUGGACCGACAUUGACGCUGAGGCGCGAAAGCGUGGGGAGCGAACAGG
RNAcentral lists this ribosomal RNA (253 nucleotides) under uncultured bacterium. RNAcentral describes it as "partial 16S ribosomal RNA". It matches the Rfam family "Bacterial small subunit ribosomal RNA", at positions 524 to 776 of the family's 1533-position model. The record is from RNAcentral.